GUCGUUAAGACCUGAGCAAGUUUAUUUAUCUAGCACAUUACAUACACAACGGCAUUUCAAACCUAACAAACACAUGAACAACAGAAAUGAGAGAACAUGCAGAAUAAAGGUAAAUAAAUAACACAGUAAUAGCCUACGGUAGUGAUACAAUAUUUAAUAUGGUGAUACGUUCGAGCGUGUUAUAUUCCUUGUCAUCUUAUUUUAUAUUACCUAUUAUUAUAAUUAUGGUUGUUGUUACAGAGGCUUAUUACAAAUCAAGCAUGAUCUUAUAUUUUGACAGGAGGAGAAGAUUUCACAAUCUGUUAUGCUAUGUCUGUUGAAUGUGCGAAGGUUAAGUGAUUUUUCCCACAUUGUUCUUUUUGUUCAGUCCAACUCACAUCAGUCUAAAAAAACAUCAUUGUUGAUUCUCCAGGCUUUUUUUAUUACCUGUAAAACACUGGAGACAAACCUAGUUUAUCCCAUACUCUCCAGUAACAGUACUGUAAGCUACAGUAAAUAAGGCAUCAGAGGAUUGUUGAAACAUGUAAUCCCUCGUAAUCAACAAAAACAUUCUGCCCCUCACAUUGCUAUACUGAGGUACAGCCCAUUUACAAUACAUAAAUAAUAAUGUAGGGUAGGAAAGUUAAAACAGUUUGUGUGCUAAAAAAAUAUUAAAGAAUUUCACUUUUUUUAUUUGAUGUUUGAUGGUUCCACAACUAGAAAGACUUGUAUUGACCAAUAUUAAUGGCUCAGUUCUCUUUAAACAACAAUGAAAAACUUGGCAGACAUCACUACCAAAAUAAUCUAUGGAAGUAAUCAGGGUAUAUUUAAGAAAAGAACAACUCAGUCACCUGAAAUCAACUGCAUAUUUGGUUUGAUGCUACUUAAAGGUAAUUUUGCCAAAAUAUAUAUAUAAAAAACACUCACAUAUCCCCAAUUACAGUACUUGCAAAAGCAGUGACUAAAAUUACAUUAUGUUCAUAUUGGCUGUUUAAAGAACACUGAGUCUUAGAUUACAUAUUGUGUUGGCCAAUACAACCAUCUAACAUCAAGCUGCAUUUCUAUUAAUUUAUUAAUACGUCACUGACCUCCUACCCCAGCGGACGACAAACACACCUCCCCUGAUAGGCACCCUCCCCUUUUUAGUAAAUUAACAAAUAAAAAUGAUCGGUAGCAUUAGGAAUGGUAAGCAAGCCGCAACAUGAGAGAAGCACAGAAGUCUGACAUUGGCUAUAUCCCAAACCCCCCCCUUCACCUCUCCAAUUGAACCUUCACAUGCCACUGGCACUGCCACUGGCAUUUGCACAAGCAACCCUAAGAGGGAUAAUGGAGGGUGUAGGCGCUAAUCGGAUGCUUCAGUGGCCACUUUCUGUUGCAACCAUUCCAACGUCAUGAACUCAGUGAAAGCCCAUUAAGAACAACAUCACAUCUUUUUGUUUCACACAAAAAGAUAAGAGGUGUGCCCAAUUAUGACACAUGGAUUUUUUUGUCUAAGAUGAAGAAUGUCACAGCUUGCAAUCUUAUUAUUGUAAUAAAAUGCAAGUGGUCUCUAAAGUCUCUUACUAAAACAUUGCAUUUUAUUUCAACUAUAACAUCUGAGAGCAGUGACCAUGUGUGACAGCGGCUUUUUCUCAAUGUUUUUCGAACAUGAACCAGCAUGAGUUUAUACAGGUGUGCAACUACGGGGGUUGGACAAAAUAAUGGGAAAGGAUUGUCACUUUGAAGCUACUACACAAUUACAAUCUCAGAUGAAGAGGUCACAUUAGGUUGUUUGCAAAUUAGCAGUAUGUAUGUGUCAGUUAUAAAACAGGUCUAAUAGUUAGCACUUUGAAAUUUGAAUUUCGGAAGUAACAUGAGGCCACUGAAAGCUUCAGAGGGAGCAAACAGCCUGUACUGCAGGAGCAUCAGUCACAAAAACUACAAAACUAUUCAAUAUGUCAAGGGAAACGGUCUAAAAAUCUUGACAGCAUAUGCUGAUCAUUGACAAAACGAACCUCAGAAUAGAAUCAGCACCACAGUGACCCAGUCUUAAUAAAAACUGUACGUUGUGAGUAUCACAAAGCUGGAAUUUAUGGCAGGGCUGUCAUUCAGAAACCAAUUGUAUCUAAGGCAAAUGUACAAACACAUUUAACUUUGUACAAA
Long non-coding RNA from Esox lucius (northern pike), 2121 nucleotides. Lineage: Eukaryota; Metazoa; Chordata; Actinopteri; Esociformes; Esocidae. The record is from Ensembl.